RNAcentral lists this ribosomal RNA (497 nucleotides) under uncultured bacterium. RNAcentral's name for it is "partial 16S ribosomal RNA". It matches the Rfam family "Bacterial small subunit ribosomal RNA", at positions 28 to 507 of the family's 1533-position model. The record is from RNAcentral.
GAUGAACGCUGGCGGCGUGCCUAAUACAUGCAAGUCGAGCGAACGGACGAGAAGCUUGCUUCUCUGAUGUUAGCGGCGGACGGGUGAGUAACACGUGGAUAACCUACCUAUAAGACUGGGAUAACUUCGGGAAACCGGAGCUAAUACCGGAUAAUAUUUUGAACCGCAUGGUUCAAAAGUGAAAGACUGUCUUGCUGUCACUUAUAGAUGGAUCCGCGCUGCAUUAGCUAGUUGGUAAGGUAACGGCUUACCAAGGCAACGAUGCAUAGCCGACCUGGGAGAGUGAUCGGCCACACUGGAACUGGAACACGGACCAGACUCCUACGGGAGGCAGCAGUAGGGAAUCUUCCGCAAUGGGCGAAAGCCUGACGGAGCAACGCCGCGUGAGUGAUGAAGGUCUUCGGAUCGUAAAACUCUGUUAUUAGGGAAGAACAUAUGUGUAAGUAACUGUGCACAUCUUGACGGUACCUAAUCAGAAAGCCACGGCUAACUACGUG